Molecule: ribosomal RNA, 253 nt
Filed under: uncultured bacterium
Lineage: Bacteria
Description: partial 16S ribosomal RNA
Rfam family: Bacterial small subunit ribosomal RNA
Source: RNAcentral
UACGUAGGGGGCUAGCGUUGUCCGGAAUCAUUGGGCGUAAAGAGCGUGUAGGCGGCCCGGUAAGUCCGCUGUGAAAGUCGGGGGCUCAACCCUCGAAUGCCGGUGGAUACUGUCGGGCUAGAGUGCGGAAGAGGCGAGUGGAAUUCCUGGUGUAGCGGUGAAAUGCGCAGAUAUCAGGAGGAACACCGAUUGCGAAGGCAUCUCGCUGGGACGUAACUGACGCUGAGACGCGAAAGCGUGGGGAGCAAACAGG